CUGACCUGCGGAGGGAUCAUUA
RNAcentral lists this ribosomal RNA (22 nucleotides) under Hirsutella minnesotensis. Its description in RNAcentral is "partial 18S ribosomal RNA". Lineage: Eukaryota; Fungi; Ascomycota; Sordariomycetes; Hypocreales; Ophiocordycipitaceae. The record is from RNAcentral.